Molecule: ribosomal RNA, 473 nt
Filed under: uncultured bacterium
Lineage: Bacteria
Description: partial 16S ribosomal RNA
Rfam family: Bacterial small subunit ribosomal RNA
Source: RNAcentral
GAUGAACGCUAGCGGCAGGCCUAAUACAUGCAAGUCGAACGGGUGGUCGCAAGACCACUAGUGGCGCACGGGUGCGUAACGCGUAACCAACCUGCCCCGAUCUGGGGUAUAGCCCGCCGAAAGGCGGAUUAAUACCGCAUAUACCCGCAGCCUGGCAUCAGGCAACGGGGAAAGAUUUAUUGGAUCGGGAUGGGGUUGCGUGACAUUAGCUAGUUGGCGGGGUAAGGGCCCACCAAGGCGACGAUGUCUAGGGGACCUGAGAGGGUGAUCCCCCACACUGGCACUGAGAUACGGGCCAGACUCCUACGGGAGGCAGCAGUAGGGAAUAUUGGGCAAUGGGCGAGAGCCUGACCCAGCCAUGCCGCGUGCCGGAUGAAGGCCUUCUGGGUUGUAAACGGCUUUUCUCAGGGAAGAAAAAGACCUUGCGAGGUACACUGACGGUACCUGAGGAAUAAGCACCGGCUAACUCCGUG